GAUGAACGCUGGCGGCGUGCCUAAUACAUGCAAGUCGAGCGAACGGACGAGAAGCUUGCUUCUCUGAUGUUAGCGGCGGACGGGAGAGUAACACGUGGAUAACCUACCUAUAAGUCUGGGAUAACUUCGGGAAACCGGCGCUAAUACCGGAUAAUAUUUUGCACCGCAUGGUUCAAAAGUGAAAGACGGUCUUGCUGUCACUUAUAGCUGGAUCCGCGCUGCAUUAGCUAGUUGGUAAGGUAACGGCUUACCAAGGCAACGAUGCAUAGCCGACCUGAGAGAGUGAUCGGCCACACGGGAGGUGAGACACGGACCAGACUCCUGCGGGAGGCAGCAGUAGGGAAUCUUCCGCAAUGGGCGAAAGCCUGACGGAGCAGCGCCGCGUGAGUGGUGAAGGUCUUCGGAGCGUAAAGCUCUGUUAUUAGGGAAGAACAUAUGUGUAAGUAACUGUGCACAGCGUGACGGUACCUAAUCAGAAAGCCACGGCUAACUACGUG
Molecule: ribosomal RNA, 497 nt
Filed under: uncultured bacterium
Lineage: Bacteria
Description: partial 16S ribosomal RNA
Rfam family: Bacterial small subunit ribosomal RNA
Source: RNAcentral